UGGGGAAUAUUGGACAAUGGGCGCAAGCCUGAUCCAGCCAUACCGCGUGGGUGAAGAAGGCCUUCGGGUUGUAAAGCCCUUUUGUUGGGAAAGAAAAGCAUUCGGUUAAUACCCGAUUGUUCUGACGGUACCCAAAGAAUAAGCACCGGCUAACUUCGUGCCAGCAGCCGCGGUAAUACGAAGGGUGCAAGCGUUACUCGGAAUUACUGGGCGUAAAGCGUGCGUAGGUGGUUGUUUAAGUCUGUCGUGAAAGCCCUGGGCUCAACCUGGGAAUUGCGAUGGAAACUGGGCGACUAGAGUGUGGCAGAGGGUAGUGGAAUUCCUGGUGUAGCAGUGAAAUGCGUAGAGAUCAGGAGGAACAUCCGUGGCGAAGGCGACUGCCUGGGCCAACACUGACACUGAGGCACGAAAGCGUGGGGAGCAAACAGGAUUAGAUACCCUGGUAGUCCACGCCCUAAACGAUGCGAACUGGAUGUUGGGUGCAAUUUGGCACGCAGUAUCGAAGCUAACGCGUUAAGUUCGCCGCCUGGGGAGUACGAUCGCAAGACUGAAACUCAAAGGAAUUGAC
Molecule: ribosomal RNA, 568 nt
Filed under: uncultured bacterium
Lineage: Bacteria
Description: partial 16S ribosomal RNA
Rfam family: Bacterial small subunit ribosomal RNA
Source: RNAcentral